RNAcentral lists this ribosomal RNA (1362 nucleotides) under human gut metagenome. RNAcentral describes it as "bacterial SSU rRNA". It matches the Rfam family "Bacterial small subunit ribosomal RNA". The record is from RNAcentral.
AGAGUUUGAUCCUGGCUCAGGAUGAACGCUGGCGGCGUGCCUAACACAUGCAAGUCGAGCGAUCUCUUCGGAGAGAGCGGCGGACGGGUGAGUAACGCGUGGGUAACCUGCCCUGUACACACGGAUAACAUACCGAAAGGUAUGCUAAUACGGGAUAAUAUAUAAGAGUCGCAUGACUUUUAUAUCAAAGAUUUUUCGGUACAGGAUGGACCCGCGUCUGAUUAGCUUGUUGGCGGGGUAACGGCCCACCAAGGCGACGAUCAGUAGCCGACCUGAGAGGGUGAUCGGCCACAUUGGAACUGAGACACGGUCCAAACUCCUACGGGAGGCAGCAGUGGGGAAUAUUGCACAAUGGGCGCAAGCCUGAUGCAGCGACGCCGCGUGAGGGAUGGAGGCCUUCGGGUUGUAAAGCUCUGUCUUUAGGGACGAUAAUGACGGUACCCAAGGAGGAAGCACCGGCUAACUACGUGCCAGCAGCCGCGGUAAUACGUAGGGUGCAAGCGUUAUCCGGAAUUAUUGGGCGUAAAGCGAGCGCAGGCGGUUUUUUAAGUCUGAUGUGAAAUACCCCGGCUCAACCGGGGAGGUGCAUUCGAAACUGGGAGACUUGAGUGCAGGAGAGGAAAGGAGAAUUCCUAGUGUAGCGGUGAAAUGCGUAGAUAUUAGGAAGAACACCAGUGGCGAAGGCGACUUUCUGGACGAAAACUGACGCUGAGGCGCGAAAGCGUGGGGAGCGAACAGGAUUAGAUACCCUGGUAGUCCACGCCGUAAACGAUGAGUGCUAAGUGUUGGAGGGUUUCCGCCCUUCAGUGCUGCAGCAAACGCAUUAAGCACUCCGCCUGGGGAGUACGACCGCAAGGUUGAAACUCAAAGGAAUUGACGGGGGCCCGCACAAGUAGCGGAGCAUGUGGUUUAAUUCGAAGCAACGCGAAGAACCUUACCAGGUCUUGACAUCUUUUGAUCACCUGAGAGAUCAGGUUUCCCCUUCGGGGGCAAAAUGACAGGUGGUGCAUGGUUGUCGUCAGCUCGUGCCGGGAGAUGUUGGGUUAAGUCCCGCAACGAGCGCAACCCUUAUUGUUAGUUGCCAUCAUUCAGUUGGGCACUCUAGCGAGACUGCCGCAGACAAUGCGGAGGAAGGUGGGGAUGACGUCAAAUCAUCAUGCCCCUUAUAUGCUGGGCUACACACGUGCUACAAUGGGCAGUACAGAGAGAAGCAAAUCUGUGAGGAGGAGCAAACCUCAGAAAGCUGUUCGUAGUUCGGAUUGUACUCUGCAACUCGAGUACAUGAAGUUGGAAUCACUAGUAAUCGCAAAUCAGCAAUGUUGCGGUGAAUACGUUCUCGGGUCUUGCACUCACCGCCCGUCA